CUGCUGUGAUGAGAUUCAUUGAUACAUUAAUGAAAGCAGCUAAUGCUUGAUGUUCGAUUGACAAUGAUGUCAAUCCUGAGCGGUUAACUGAGCAG
Molecule: small nucleolar RNA, 95 nt
Organism: Amaranthus tricolor (Joseph's coat)
Lineage: Eukaryota; Viridiplantae; Streptophyta; Magnoliopsida; Caryophyllales; Amaranthaceae
Product: small nucleolar RNA snoR128
Exons: 1
Source: RefSeq, a predicted model, not a curated record